AUUUAUUCUUGUAUAAAUAUGAUAAAAAUAAAGAUAUAUAAAAUAUAAAUAUAAUAAUUUAUUAUAAUAAUAAAAAUUUUCUUUUAAAAAAAAUUCAACCGUUGGAUCAAUCUGGGAUUGAAUCAGGACCUAGACCCGGGGACUUACGGUCUAGUCCCAGACCCCUUGAACCAUUAAACCGGAACCGCCGGUUUCAGCCCGGAUGGAACUCUCGGCCAGGCCUACUAUAAAGCAAGAACUCCAUCAUUCUGCAACUAAAAGGUCACAUGUAAACAAAUUAAUCAACAUCUCAUAUUUCAGUGGCUACGUACAAGGUAAAUUCUGGGUUCUGUAAAUUGAUUCUCUCAUAACUUUAGAUACCAUGAUUGAUUAUCUUACAGAAAUUUUGAUGGACGUAAAGCUUACUUGAGCUAAGUUUAAAUAGCAAGGCAAGUAAACUUUAAUUAAUCUGCUCACCCCUUGUUAGGAUUUUCUUCUCUUCUUCAACUUCUUCAAGCAGUGCUGCUAACUCAGCUUCUGUCAAACCCUCUAACCGCUUCUGCAUGACUUUGUUUUCAUAGUCACGCAGUUGUUGAGCAUACGUCAUUUCCUUGUUUGACACCCUAAAGAUAUACGUUGAAAUCCAUCCGACAGUUAGGCCUAAAACCAGUACCAAUUGAACAACAUUCCCUGCUUGUAAAGAAUCCACUCCAGCAAACUCCAGUCCACUUUUCAAACCAAUGCCUAGAACAGUAACUCCCAUUCCGAUCAAUAAAACAUCCUUCCUAGUGUAUCCAAAAGGUGUCUGCUUGCCUUGAUCAGAGGAAACAUCUUCAUUGUUAUUGGAGUCUGAGGAGCUGCUACUUCUAGGGAUAAUAAAGUUAAUUUUCUUUGACAUCAUGCCGCUGGAUCCUCUUCUUGGAUUUUCCAAGAAUGCGACCCUUCUACAAAAGCUUUGUGAAAUUAAUCUCCCUUGGAAAUCUCCAGCUCCCAAAUGCAAUAAUGGAAUACUUGAAAUACCCACAUAGGAAAUAGGUCUAUUUCUGCAAAAAAUGUUGCAAUUUGGAUUUCCAUGAAGAAGAGAAGUCAUCGCUGGAUGAGGAUUGAAGAGGAAGAAAGCGGGUGGCUGGAAGUGACAGUGAGCGAGUUUCUCUAGCUUUAUCUUGUAAUUAAGUGAAUUAAAGAAAUCUUCUACCCCUGCUUAAAGGCAAACACUUGCAGUGCAAAACGCCACGUCGUUGAGUAUGUUACCAGUAACUGGUUCUCUCCUUUUAGAAAAAACAAAAACAAUCUUGUUUUACGGGCUAUUAAAUUAAUGACUGGCUCUAGUUUAAGCAACCAGAGAAUCUACUGAAAUGGAAGUCAAGUAAAAUUUAAUAAACCUAAUUAGUUUUAUAACAAUAGCU
This 1385-nucleotide unclassified non-coding RNA is filed under the name Hevea brasiliensis (rubber tree). The record is from RNAcentral. Lineage: Eukaryota; Viridiplantae; Streptophyta; Magnoliopsida; Malpighiales; Euphorbiaceae.